GCUAAGCCAUAAACAUUGAUAGCCAAACCACAAAGCUGUCCGCCAGAGAACUACAAGUGAAAAACUUAAAACUCAAAGGAUUUGGCGGUGUCCCAUAUCAAACUAGAGGAGCCUGUCCUAUAAUCGAUACCCCCCGUUCCACCCAACCUAAACUAGCACAUUCAGCCUAUAUACCGCCGUCGACAGCCUACCCCAUGAGGGCUCAAUAGUAGACACAAUAGUAUACUACUAAUACGUCAGGUCAAGGUGUAGCACAUGUUUAGGAAGAGAUUGGCUACAUUUUUAAUUAUUAAAAAUUACGGAGUGCCCAAUGAAACUCAACAUGAAGGUGAAUUUAGCAGUAAAAUAAACAAGACUAUUUAUUUAAACAUUGCUCUGGGACGCGCACACACCGCCCGUCACCCUCCUCAACACUCUAUAAUCUCCAUACCUAAUUUAAUAAAUUAACAUAGAGGAGGU
RNAcentral lists this ribosomal RNA (459 nucleotides) under Heliobolus lugubris. RNAcentral's name for it is "partial 12S small subunit ribosomal RNA". It matches the Rfam family "Bacterial small subunit ribosomal RNA", at positions 794 to 1456 of the family's 1533-position model. Lineage: Eukaryota; Metazoa; Chordata; Lepidosauria; Squamata; Lacertidae. The record is from RNAcentral.